AACGAACGCUGGCGGCAGGCUUAACACAUGCAAGUCGAACGCUCGUAGCAAUACGGGAGUGGCGGACGGGUGAGUAACGCGUGGGAACGUGCCCUGAGGUACGGAAUAACUGCGGGAAACUGCAGCUAAUACCGUAUGAGCCCCGCAAGGGGAAAGGAUUUAUCGCCUUGGGAGCGGCCCGCGUCGGAUUAGCUAGUUGGUGGGGUAACGGGCCUACCAAGGCUUCGAUCCGUAGCUGGUCUGAGAGGACGAUCAGCCACACUGGGACGUGAGACACGGCCCACGACUCCUACGGGAGGGCAGCAGUGGGGAAGUCUUGCGCAAUGGGGGCGAACCCUGACGCAGCCAUGCCGCGUGAAUGAUGAAGGCCUUAGGGUUGUAAAGUUCUUUUGCCCGUGACGAUGAUGACGGUAACGGGAGAAUAAGCUCCGGCUAACUUCGUG
Molecule: ribosomal RNA, 443 nt
Filed under: uncultured bacterium
Lineage: Bacteria
Description: bacterial SSU rRNA
Rfam family: Bacterial small subunit ribosomal RNA
Source: RNAcentral